UAAUCCCUUUUUGGUACAUGAUCUUUUAAGGAAAUGAUUUAUUGAUGUUUAUGUAAACCAAGCUUAAUGUAUGAUAUGUUGCCCCAUUGGAGCAUUUGAUGAGGGCUCCAGUGUGGGGUUUUAUGUUUAUGAGUUUGUGCAUGCACAGGUUAAGCUUGGUAAAUGAAAUGAAAAAGUUUAAUGUUUUAUGUAUAUGUUUGAUCAUGU
Molecule: long non-coding RNA, 207 nt
Filed under: Manihot esculenta (cassava)
Lineage: Eukaryota; Viridiplantae; Streptophyta; Magnoliopsida; Malpighiales; Euphorbiaceae
Description: long non-coding RNA (MESC_LNC007152)
Source: RNAcentral